AACGAACGCUAGCGGCGUGGAUUAGGCAUGCAAGUCGAACGUGAACCGUAGCAAUACGGUGAAAGUGGCGGAAGGGUGAGUAAUGCGUGGAUAACCUACCUCCGAGCCUGGGAUAACUCUGGGAAACUAGAGCUAAUACCGGAUGGGGUCGCCGGGUCGCAUGGUCUGGCGAAUAAAGGAAGCCUCUGAAUAUGCCUUCACUCGGAGAGGGAUCCAUGUCCUAUCAGCUAGUUGGUGAGGGUAACGGCCCACCAAGGCAUUGACGGGUAGCCGGCCUUAGCGGGUGUCCGGCCACAUUGGGACUGAGACACUGCCCAAACUCCUACGGGAGGCUGCAGUCGAGGAUCUUCUGCAAUGGGCGAAAGCCUGACAGAGCGACGCCGCGUGUGGGAUGAAGGCCUUCGGGUUGUAAACCACUGUCACUGGUUAUGAAAGGGCUUGGAGUUAACAGCUUCAGGAACUGACAAAGGCUAGUGAGGAAGCCACGGCUAACUUCGUGCCAGCAGCCGCGGUAAGACGAAGGUGGCGAGCGUUGUUCGGAAUCACUGGGCAUAAAGCGCACGUAGGCGGCGGCGUAAGUCGGAUUGAAAUCCCUCGGCCUAACCGAGGAACUGCGUCCGAUACUGCGU
This 629-nucleotide ribosomal RNA is filed under the name uncultured bacterium. Its description in RNAcentral is "bacterial SSU rRNA". It matches the Rfam family "Bacterial small subunit ribosomal RNA", at positions 28 to 638 of the family's 1533-position model. The record is from RNAcentral.